Mytilus trossulus (common blue mussel) is the source of this 259-nucleotide long non-coding RNA. RefSeq lists it as uncharacterized. The record is from RefSeq and is a predicted model, not a curated record. Lineage: Eukaryota; Metazoa; Mollusca; Bivalvia; Mytilida; Mytilidae. The transcript has 3 exons.
UUUUCAUUACUAAUCGAGAUGUGGCCUUAAAGGCAGCAAGGCGAUUUGUCUAACGUACUGCUCAGAAAGGUCUAAAAAGUAGUGAACGCUGAAGAUAAGAGAACAGAAACAUAAAAACAAUAAUGUCCUGUUAGAUAUAUACAUGUGGCCUACAUAGAUCUGUUAUAUAGGAAGGAGGAAAGUGAUUCAGUCCCUGUGAUCAUUGUCCAGUCAAUGUGAUCAUUGUCCAGUCCAUUUAAUCCUUGCCCAGUUAGUAUAG